CCAUCAUUCCUUCAUUGAGCAACAGCUGCUUUCUCAAAAACCAACAUGAAGCAAUCUUUUGAUUCCAUUUUUGACAUUCUUACUAAAACAAAAUUUCCAUGGAUUUUCGUUAUCAGAGGCCACUCCAGGGCUGGGUUUUCUACAAAAGCAUGAAGGUUUCUUUCUCAUUCGCGACAUAUGUUGGUGACCUGCUCUGCAUCUCCUAAUACUGGAUUUGGGUUUAUGGAGCAGCCACCAUCCAAAAAGAUGUCAGUGGCCAGAGCAAAGGGAAAAAGAAAGAUCUGAAGUGUGCUGCACUGCUCAGCUUCCUGAGACACAACACCAGCUGAAGUAGAAUCCAUCAUCCUGAGAUAAAUAAGUCUCCCUUCAAGAAAACCUGGAGGACUCAAGUUAGUACAAAAGCAAGGCUUUCUCUUCUGUAUGAUCCCAAUAUGCAACUUGUUUAAUAUACCAGGGUCAAUGGGAGAGAGUGGGAGUAUACAGCUAUGUAGCAUUUAAGGAAGGCAUAAACAAACGGUGUAUAUGAAAAUACUUCCAGAUUUCCAUUUUCAAAAGCCCUAUACCUAGAGUUUAGACACAGAUGAAUAAGCUACAGCUUCAGGCUAGGUGUGCACCCCUGCCACCCCAUUGUAAUGGGCCAAAAUUGAUGACUUUAGAGGUAAUUAUGUUGAAUUUGACAACUAGAAACCAAAUAUCAAACUGAGAAAUGUUUUCUGCCUUAUAUGUUGUUUGAUAUACAAAGUAAUACAUAUUUUGGACAAUUUUAUGACAUCUCAUUAGUGAGC
Long non-coding RNA from Puma concolor (puma), 785 nucleotides. RefSeq lists it as uncharacterized. NCBI's taxonomy places the organism in Eukaryota, Metazoa, Chordata, Mammalia, Carnivora, Felidae. The record is from RefSeq and is a predicted model, not a curated record.